This 436-nucleotide ribosomal RNA is filed under the name uncultured bacterium. RNAcentral describes it as "partial 16S ribosomal RNA". It matches the Rfam family "Bacterial small subunit ribosomal RNA", at positions 29 to 507 of the family's 1533-position model. The record is from RNAcentral.
AGCGAACGCUGGCGGCAGGCUUAACACAUGCAAGUCGAGCGGGCAUCCUUGUGGUGUCAGCGGCAGACGGGUGAGUAACGCGUGGGAACGUGCCCUUCGGUUCGGAAUAACUCAGGGAAACUUGAGCUAAUACCGGAUACGUGCGAGAGCAGAAAGGUUUAUCUGCCGAAGGAUCGGCCCGCGUCUGAUUAGCUAGUUGGUGAGGUUACGGCUCACCAAGGCGACGAUCAGUAGCUGGUCUGAGAGGAUGAUCAGCCACACUGGGACUGAGACACGGCCCAGACUCCUACGGGAGGCAGCAGUGGGGAAUAUUGGACAAUGGGGGCAACCCUGAUCAGCCAUGCCGCGUGAGUGAUGACGGCCUUAGGGUUGUAAAGCUCUUUUCUCCGGGACGAUAAUGACGGUACCGGAGGAAUAAGCCCCGGCUAACUUCGUG